GACGGUGAAACAUGUGUGUAGUUUUUUCGCGAGUUGCCAUGUUCCGAUAGCAAUUAAUCCGGCAAAUCGAGUUAUAUUUGAUUACGAAUCAACGCCAUGUAAUAAUAACAAAUGUGUAAUAUUAGUAAACGGGAAGUUAUUCUCUGUCGGCUCUUGGAUGUCGUGGAUUACAAAGCCUGGGUUGUGCGAACAUGUUACCUUUUCUUGCCGUAGAUGUAUGGAAGACGACUGUUUGUUUCAGUACUUUCUUAUCCGACACACUGG
This is a long non-coding RNA of Dalotia coriaria, 264 nucleotides long. RefSeq lists it as uncharacterized. The record is from RefSeq and is a predicted model, not a curated record. Lineage: Eukaryota; Metazoa; Arthropoda; Insecta; Coleoptera; Staphylinidae. The transcript is spliced from 3 exons.